Molecule: ribosomal RNA, 491 nt
Filed under: uncultured bacterium
Lineage: Bacteria
Description: partial 16S ribosomal RNA
Rfam family: Bacterial small subunit ribosomal RNA
Source: RNAcentral
GAUGAACGCUAGCUACAGGCUUAACACAUGCAAGUCGAGGGGAAACGAUGAGAGAGCUUGCUCUCUUAGUCGUCGACCGGCGCACGGGUGAGUAACGCGUAUCCAACCUGCCUCUGACCAAGGGAUAACCCGUCGAAAGUCGGACUAAUACCUUAUGCAGUCUUCGGAAGUCAUCUGAUGACGACGAAAGAUUUCAUCGGUGAGAGAUGGGGAUGCGUCUGAUUAGCUUGUUGGCGGGGUAACGGCCCACCAAGGCGACGAUCAGUAGGGGUUCUGAGAGGAAGGUCCCCCACAUGGGAACUGAGACACGGUCCAAACUCCUACGGGAGGCAGCAGUGAGGAAUAUUGGUCAAUGGGCGUAAGCCUGAACCAGCCAAGUAGCGUGCAGGAGGACGGCCCUAUGGGUUGUAAACUGCUUUUAGGCGGGGAUAAAGCGAGGGACGUGUCCUUCAUUGCAGGUACCGCAUGAAUAAGGACCGGCUAAUUCCGUG